AGCUAUUGACUUUUAAAAUAAGGGUCCUCUGUAGACGCUCGAUGUAAUUGCAUACAUGUACGUUCAGCAGAACACCAAGUUUGAACGUGGCGAGGGUACGAAGACGAGGAGAGUGCUAACUAUUCAUGAGAAUGCUGCUGAACCAGACAGAGUA
This is a long non-coding RNA of Patiria miniata (bat star), 154 nucleotides long. RefSeq lists it as uncharacterized. The transcript is spliced from 3 exons. The record is from RefSeq and is a predicted model, not a curated record. NCBI's taxonomy places the organism in Eukaryota, Metazoa, Echinodermata, Asteroidea, Valvatida, Asterinidae.